This 228-nucleotide ribosomal RNA is filed under the name uncultured Lactobacillus sp. RNAcentral describes it as "partial 16S ribosomal RNA". It matches the Rfam family "Bacterial small subunit ribosomal RNA", at positions 134 to 355 of the family's 1533-position model. The record is from RNAcentral. Lineage: Bacteria; Bacillati; Bacillota; Bacilli; Lactobacillales; Lactobacillaceae.
GAGAUCGGGAUAACACCUGGAAACAGAUGCUAAUACCGGAUAACAACAGAUGAUGCCUAUCAACUGUUUAAAAGAUGGUUCUGCUAUCACUCUUGGAUGGACCUGCGGUGCAUUAGCUAGUUGGUAGGGUAACGGCCUACCAAGGCGAUGAUGCAUAGCCGAGUUGAGAGACUGAUCGGCCACAUUGGGACUGAGACACGGCCCAAACUCCUACGGGAGGCAGCGGCC